This 159-nucleotide ribosomal RNA is filed under the name Postelsia palmaeformis. Its description in RNAcentral is "partial 18S ribosomal RNA". It matches the Rfam family "Eukaryotic small subunit ribosomal RNA", at positions 1673 to 1831 of the family's 1831-position model. Lineage: Eukaryota; Phaeophyceae; Laminariales; Laminariaceae. The record is from RNAcentral.
CCGUCGCACCUACCGAUUGAAUGUUUCGGUGAAGAUUCCGGACUGUGGCUCGCGUGCUUUACGGCGCUCCUGCCGUGGGAAGUUAUCUAAACCUCAACAUUUAGAGGAAGGUGAAGUCGUAACAAGGUUUCCGUAGGUGAACCUGCGGAAGGAUCAUUA